This 49-nucleotide ribosomal RNA is filed under the name Solanum nigrum (black nightshade). RNAcentral's name for it is "partial 28S ribosomal RNA". Lineage: Eukaryota; Viridiplantae; Streptophyta; Magnoliopsida; Solanales; Solanaceae. The record is from RNAcentral.
UAAGCGCUUAGGCGCUCCGACCGCGACCCCAGGUCAGGCGGAUACCCCG